CCUACGGGGAGCAGCAGUGAGGAAUAUUGGUCAUUGGACGAGAGUCUGAACCAGCCAAGUAGCGUGAAGGAUGACUGCCCUAUGGGUUGUAAACUUCUUUUAUAUGGGAAUAAAAUGUUCCACGUGUGGGAUUUUGUAUGUACCAUAUGAAUAAGGAUCGGCUAACUCCGUGCCAGCAGCCGCGGUAAUACGGAGGAUCCGAGCGUUAUCCGGAUUUAUUGGGUUUAAAGGGAGCGUAGGUGGAUUGUUAAGUCAGUUGUGAAAGUUUGCGGUUCAACCGUAAAAUUGCAGUUGAAACUGGCAGUCUUGAGUACAGUAGAGGUGGGCGGAAUUCGUGGUGUAGCGGUGAAAUGCUUAGAUAUCACGAAGAACUCCGAUUGCGAAGGCAGUUCACUGGACUGCAACUGACACUGAGGCUCGAAAGUGUGGGUAUCAAACAGGAUUAGAUACCCCGGUAGUC
Molecule: ribosomal RNA, 460 nt
Filed under: uncultured bacterium
Lineage: Bacteria
Description: partial 16S ribosomal RNA
Rfam family: Bacterial small subunit ribosomal RNA
Source: RNAcentral